Molecule: long non-coding RNA, 1516 nt
Organism: Glycine soja
Lineage: Eukaryota; Viridiplantae; Streptophyta; Magnoliopsida; Fabales; Fabaceae
Exons: 2
Source: RefSeq, a predicted model, not a curated record
UUCUUCUCCAUUUCUCUCCAUUCUUCUGAAUCUUCUGUUCCUCUCCAUUCUUCUAGGUUCUUUUCUCUCCUAUCCUGCUGCGUUUUCUUUUUUCAUUUGGUUGGUUUGGCCAAAAAAUCGAAAGGUUGUUCCUUGGUAAAAUCGUUUUCUCUCCCGUGAGGAAAACCCAAAGGCUGAAACUUUUUUGCUUGGUUUGAUAGUUCUUUGCUUGGUUUGGCCGAAAAAUGAUUUCUUGGUUCUUUUCUAUCUUAUCCUUCUACGUGAUGUAUUUGAUUUCUCCUUUGGUUUGUGGUUCUGACGGUCCAAAAAAUUGUAUUUUUUUGUGUUCCUCGGGCUUAUUUGACUGGCUGACUAUUGUUCUUCCUUUGCAACACAAAAGCUUCAAUUUUUUUGCGUCUUCUGCCUUUGUUUUGUGUUAUGACUUUUCGUAGGACAAAAGCUUAAAUUUUUUUGGGUGUUCUGCCUUUGUCUAAUGGUUCAAUAUAUUUUUUGGCAUGUUUAUUUUUUUUAUUAAUCGCUAUUGUAUGCAGAGAAGGUGGAAAAACACACUAAAGUUAUGAUUUUUAUCUCAAAAAACUCCAUGAGUACAGGUUCGUAAAUACAAAAGCUAAAUUUUUUUUGGGUGUUCUACCUUUAUUUUGUUUUCUGACUUCUUGUUAUACAAAAGUUUAAAUUUUUUUGUGUUCCUGAGCCUUCUCCAACAUGCUGAUUAUUUCCUAUACCCAUGUUUUGGUGUUUUCGUCCUUUUUUGGUGGUCUAAUGGUUCAAUAUAUUUUUUGGCAUGUUGAUUUUUUUUUAUGAAUGCAAAGAAGGUGGAAGAAGACACUAAAGCUGCGAUUUUUAUCUCAAAAACUCCAUGAAUACAGGUUCAUUUUCUUGCUUUGUCUAUCAAAGCUUAAAUUUUUGUGUUCCUGAGCAUUCUCCGACGUGCUUCCCCCGCCAUUUUCGAUUUUUAUCUCCAAACUCCAUGAAUACAUGUUCGUUUUCUUACUUCGUUUUCCCUUCCCGUCUUCUUCUACGUUUUCUUUUUUUACCUUUAUUUGCAUUUGUAUGCGUUUUUUUAUUUCGGUUUUUUGUUUUUUCACUGCAUGUUCAUUGUUUCUUCUAAAGCUGCGAUUUUUAUCUUAGAAAGCUUUAAUUUUUAUCUCCAAACUCCAUGUACACAGUUGAAUUUCGGAUCCCAUUCAUAGGUAUCAGAUGAACAUAGUUGAAUUGUUGUUGUUCUACCUUAAUGGAACAAUAUGGAAAAAUAUGGAUCUUUGUGUUGCAUUCGCUACCUAUUUUUAUCUUUUUUGUGUUCCAUGUUUGAGUUCCUUUCUUUACGUGUUCAUCUAUGUAUUACUGGCAAAAAAUAAUGUUUAUUGCUAUAAUUAACUUUGAGGUUCACGAGCUAUCUUGAAUCUUCUCCAAUUUUGUUCUUAUCAUGGUAACGUAUCAACGUGUACAAAAUCUCUGUUGUAGAUAUUCUUGACAUUUGUGCUUAUACAGGUUGAAAAUAAAAACAAUUUACUUUUAA